Molecule: long non-coding RNA, 287 nt
Organism: Sinocyclocheilus rhinocerous
Lineage: Eukaryota; Metazoa; Chordata; Actinopteri; Cypriniformes; Cyprinidae
Exons: 4
Source: RefSeq, a predicted model, not a curated record
CGUCUACAUGAUACGGACGAGAAAACCGCAGGAGAGUGUGUUCGGCGUGCGCGAGAAGAAAGUCGUACUGGUCUGAAACGGCAUGACGUGAAAGUCAUCGGGGUCCAGUAAUGUUUCUGUGAUGCGAUCUGGUCCAGAUUCUCUCUUUUUCUCCCAGUCGUGUCCUUUUCCCCACUGUACUAAGUGGAAAGAAGACCAAUUGCAGAUUGUCCGGAGUAAAUGUAUACAGAUGCUGCUAAAAACACACCAUAAAAAUGGCUGUGCCACUGAUGCACUACCUCUUUUGA